GAUGAAGAACGUAGCGAAAUGCGAUAAGUAGUGUGAAUUGCAGAAUUCAGUGAAUCAUCGAAUCUUUGAACGCACAUUGCGCCUCCUGGUAUUCCGGGAGGCAUGCCUGUUCGAGCGUCAUUAAAAUCACUCAAGCUUAGGUUUGCCUAUUGCUUGGUCUUGAAGAUGGAAGCUAAGUAAUUAGAAUCCUCUUCGAAAUCCAAUGGCGAAGACCCUUGCUCUCCCAAGUGUAGUAAUAACUUAUUCACUGAAGGAAGCGAGUAAUCUUCCGCCGUAACCCCCAUAUUUUCUAUGAUUGACCUCGGAUCAGGUAGGGAUACCCGCUGAACUUAAGCAUAUCAAUAAGCGGACGA
Molecule: unclassified non-coding RNA, 353 nt
Filed under: soil metagenome
Description: partial contains 5.8S ribosomal RNA, internal transcribed spacer 2, and large subunit ribosomal RNA
Rfam family: 5.8S ribosomal RNA (bases 1-120)
Source: RNAcentral